UACGGGGGGUGCAAGCGUUAUCCGGAUUCACUGGGUUUAAAGGGUGCGUAGGCGGCUUUGUAAGUCAGUGGUGAAAUAUGGCAGCUUAACUGUCAAGGUGCCAUUGAUACUGCAGAGCUUGAGUACAGAUGAGGUAGGCGGAAUUGACGGUGUAGCGGUGAAAUGCUUAGAUAUCGUCAAGAACACCUAUAGCGAAGGCAGCUUACUAAGCUGUAACUGACGCUGAGGCACGAAAGUGUGGGGAUCAAACAGG
This 253-nucleotide ribosomal RNA is filed under the name uncultured bacterium. RNAcentral describes it as "partial 16S ribosomal RNA". It matches the Rfam family "Bacterial small subunit ribosomal RNA", at positions 524 to 776 of the family's 1533-position model. The record is from RNAcentral.